Molecule: long non-coding RNA, 239 nt
Filed under: Coffea arabica (coffee)
Lineage: Eukaryota; Viridiplantae; Streptophyta; Magnoliopsida; Gentianales; Rubiaceae
Description: long non-coding RNA (CARA_LNC003173)
Source: RNAcentral
UUAUUAAGUUUUCCUAAAACUUUGGGAGAACCAAGCCUGCGACCUCCUUCCCUCCCUCUCUCCCUCUCUUUGGUCGCAAUCAGAUCUGGUUCCCCUUCUUCUUCCUCCCCCUCUCUAGUUUGCAAUACAACUAGAUCAGUGUGAACCAUAGAGGGGGAGGGAGAGGAGGGGUGUUGCGAGGAGAAGGAAGAAAGGGGAAGGAGGGGAGAAGAGAAAGAGGAAAAGGGAGUAGAAAGGAG